GCAGGGGUAGCCAAGCCUGGCCAACGGCGUAGGAUUCAGGGUCCUAUCCUUAGUGGUUCGGGGGUUCAAAUCCCUUCCCCUGCA
RNAcentral lists this transfer RNA (84 nucleotides) under Methanobacteriota archaeon. Its description in RNAcentral is "Euryarchaeota archaeon (anaerobic digester metagenome) tRNA-Leu". It matches the Rfam family "tRNA". From Rfam's summary of the family: Transfer RNA (tRNA) molecules are approximately 80 nucleotides in length. The record is from RNAcentral. Lineage: Archaea; Methanobacteriati; Methanobacteriota. RNAcentral also lists the same sequence under 1 other name.